Molecule: unclassified non-coding RNA, 473 nt
Filed under: Hevea brasiliensis (rubber tree)
Lineage: Eukaryota; Viridiplantae; Streptophyta; Magnoliopsida; Malpighiales; Euphorbiaceae
Source: RNAcentral
UGAAGAUGGCCGUAUUGAGAUUGAUUGUAAGGUCAAGGUGUGCUGUUUGUGGAAGCUGAGUCCGACGGUGUGGUGGAUGAUUUUGGCGAUUUUGCACCGACGUUGGAGCUCCGGCGACUUAUUCCGGCCGUUGAUUACUCACAAGGAAUCGAAUCGUAUGCUCUCUUAGUAUUGCAGAUAACACAUUUUAAAUGUGGGGGAGUUUCCCUUGGAGUGGGCAUGCAACAUCAUGCAGCAGAUGGAGCUUCUGGUCUUCACUUCAUCAACACAUGGUCCGACAUGGCUCGUGGUUUGGACCUAACUAUCCCACCUUUCAUUGAUCGUACCCUCCUCCGUGCUCGUGAUCCACCUCAGCCUCAAUUCCCCCACGUCGAGUACCAGCCACCUCCCACUCUCAAGACAACAGAAGAAAAUGUGCCCAAUGCAGAAACUGUUCCUGAAACGAGUGUGUCAAUCUUCAAACUAACCCGGGA